UCCGCUAAAUUCGUCUCGAGACAUAUUCAGUGCUGAUAAAUGUAGAAUGUUGAAUCUGUGAUAAUUGUCGACGAUGGAGAGAGAGAGGCUGAUAGCCGCUGUCGCAGGGAGAGUGAAGCUGCUGGAAGUAACAAUGGGGAGCCCGUUUGUAUCAUCUGAACAACCAGACUUCAAAGCAGCUUGACCAAAUCGGAGGGUGCCUCGUUGCUUAUCGUGAAUAUUACACCGACAUGAAUUACUACAAGUAUACUGGUCUGUCCAAUAUGCAUUGACCGAAUUGGGUAUGGUAUCUGCUCUGAGAAGGGAAUCGCUGGAGCCACAGUCCAACUAUACAGGCUUUCAAGAAACAGAGAGGAGCCAUCUUUGCAAGCUGAUACCCGAUUAGACAAACAAAACAUUCUCUCAUGUACUAGAGCACUCUGACAACUCAUGACCUAGUCCUAACGAUUGCCACCGCUUAUAAAUAUGUAGAGUGCUGAUUGGAAUGUGCUCACAAUCUCAACAGUGCUAUAAUUAUUUGAACAAUGUGUUGGAAUAUUCCACUUUUCCUUCCAUAAAUGUUGUAUCCACAUAUAAUCCACAGUGCUGCAAAGUUUCAGAGUUCUCAGGGUAUCAAACAAAAUUAUUUCAAAUACAGUGAAAUUGUUCGUGGA
Long non-coding RNA from Sycon ciliatum, 653 nucleotides. RefSeq lists it as uncharacterized. NCBI's taxonomy places the organism in Eukaryota, Metazoa, Porifera, Calcarea, Leucosolenida, Sycettidae. The transcript has 2 exons. The record is from RefSeq and is a predicted model, not a curated record.